Molecule: ribosomal RNA, 401 nt
Filed under: uncultured bacterium
Lineage: Bacteria
Description: bacterial SSU rRNA
Rfam family: Bacterial small subunit ribosomal RNA
Source: RNAcentral
GGGGAAUAUUGCGCAAUGGGGGGAACCCUGACGCAGCGACGCCGCGUGAAGGAAGAAGGCCUUCGGGUUGUAAACUUCCUUGAUUGGGGAAGAAAAAUGACGGUACCCAAAGAACAAGCCACGGCUAACUACGUGCCAGCAGCCGCGGUAAUACGUAGGUGGCGAGCGUUAUCCGGAAUUACUGGGUGUAAAGGGCGUGUAGGCGGGGAUGCAAGUCAGAUGUGAAAUUCCGGGGCUCAACCUCGGCACUGCAUCUGAAACUGUGUCUCCUGAGUGCUGGAGAGGAAAGUGGAGUUCCUAGUGUAGCGGUGAAAUGCGUAGAGAUUAGGAGGAACACCAGUGGCGAAGGCGACUUUCUGGACAGCAACUGACGCUGAGGCGCGAGAGCGUGGGGAGCAAAC